This 730-nucleotide ribosomal RNA is filed under the name Micruropus crassipes. RNAcentral's name for it is "bacterial SSU rRNA". It matches the Rfam family "Eukaryotic small subunit ribosomal RNA". Lineage: Eukaryota; Metazoa; Arthropoda; Malacostraca; Amphipoda; Micruropodidae. The record is from RNAcentral.
CUCUUUCUCGAUUCAGUGGAUGGUGGUGCAUGGCCGUUCUUAGUUGGUGGAGYGAUCUGUCUGGUUAAUUCCGAUAACGAACGAGACUCUCCCCUGCUAACUAGUCGGUUGGAUCUUGAUCAGCGGGUUGCGUGCCGAGUAACUCUCGCUGCGCGGGUGGUGCGUCUCGGGCUUCGGUUCGUUGCGUGCUCUCGUGUGGUGUUGGAUGCCUUGGAUCACACUGCACCCCAAGUCCGCCGCUUAUGCUAUAACUCUUCUUAGAGGGAUUCACGGCACUGAAGCCGUAAGAGACUGAGAGCAAUAACAGGUCUGUGAUGCCCUUAGAUGCUCUGGGCCGCNNGCGCGCUACAAUGCCGGGCACAGCAGGUGUUUCUCCUGCUCCGACAGGAGCGGGUAACCCUCUGAAAGCCAGUGUUCUUGCAAGUGAUUCCUCCCUCGUGGAGUUUCACAGAGGCGUGCUUGGGCCUGGGACUUGCAAUUCUUUCCCACCAACGAGGAAUGCCUAGUAGCGGCGGGUCACUGAGCCCGCUGUGACUCAGUCCCUGCCCUUUGUACACACCGCCCGUCGCUACUACCGAUUGGGUGUACCAGUGAGAGCCUUGGACUGGCGUCCGUUGUUGCUCGCAAGAGUGACAAGCGGGUCCGACGGAAAGAGGUCCGAACUGGUGCACUUAGAGGAAGUAAAAGUCGUAACAAGGUUUCCGUAGGUGAACCUGCGGAAGGAUCAUUA